GGUGCGAGUAGCUCAGUGGUUAGGACAUUGGUCUUCUUCUUGGAAGGUUGUGAGUUCAAAUCCCAGCACCACCA
Non-coding RNA from Ameiurus melas (black bullhead), 74 nucleotides. The record is from the annotation of a GenBank genome assembly. Lineage: Eukaryota; Metazoa; Chordata; Actinopteri; Siluriformes; Ictaluridae.